RNAcentral lists this ribosomal RNA (497 nucleotides) under uncultured bacterium. RNAcentral describes it as "partial 16S ribosomal RNA". It matches the Rfam family "Bacterial small subunit ribosomal RNA", at positions 28 to 507 of the family's 1533-position model. The record is from RNAcentral.
GAGGAAGGCGGGCGGCGUGCCUAAUACAUGCAAGUCGAGCGAACAGACGAGGAGCUUGCUCCUCUGACGUUAGCGGCGGACGGGUGAGUAACACGUGGAUAACCUACCUAUAAGACUGGGAUAACUUCGGGAAACCGGAGCUAAUACCGGAUAACAUGUUGAACCGCAUGGUUCAACAGUGAAAGACGGUUUUGCUGUCACUUAUAGAUGGAUCCGCGUCGCAUUAGCUAGUUGGUAAGGUAACGGCUUACCAAGGCAACGAUGCGUAGCCGACCUGAGAGGGUGAUCGGCCACACUGGAACUGAGACACGGUCCAGACUCCUACGGGAGGCAGCAGUAGGGAAUCUUCCGCAAUGGGCGAAAGCCUGACGGAGCAACGCCGCGUGAGUGAAGAAGGUCUUCGGAUCGUAAAACUCUGUUAUUAGGGAAGAACAAAUGUGUAAGUAACUAUGCACGUCUUGACGGUACCUAAUCAGAAAGCCACGGCUAACUACGUG